RNAcentral lists this ribosomal RNA (381 nucleotides) under uncultured marine Chaetocerotaceae. Its description in RNAcentral is "SSU rRNA". It matches the Rfam family "Eukaryotic small subunit ribosomal RNA", at positions 587 to 972 of the family's 1831-position model. Lineage: Eukaryota; Bacillariophyta; Thalassiosirophyceae; Chaetocerotales; Chaetocerotaceae. The record is from RNAcentral.
AGCUCCAAUAGCGUAUAUUAAAGUUGCUGCAGUUAAAAAGCUCGUAGUUGCAUUUCCGAGGCAAGGGAUUAGUCCGACCUUUGGUGGGUAUUUAAUCCUCUUGCCUCGUCCUUGAGUGGUGCUUCUUGGUAUUAAGUUAUCGAGGAGAUAGCCGCUCAUCGUUUACUGUGAGAAAAUUAGAGUGUUCAAAGCAGGCUUAUGCCGUUGAAUAUAUUAGCAUGGAAUAAUAAGAUAGGACCUCGGUACUAGUUUGUUGGUUUGAGAACCAAGGUAAUGAGGAAUAGGGACAGUUGGGGGUAUUCGUAUUCAGUUGUCAGAGGUGAAAUUCUUAGAUUUACGGAAGACGAACUACUGCGAAAGCAUUUACCAAGGAUGUUUUCA